This 21-nucleotide non-coding RNA is filed under the name Mus musculus (house mouse). The record is from RNAcentral. Lineage: Eukaryota; Metazoa; Chordata; Mammalia; Rodentia; Muridae.
UGGUAUAUCUGAGGGGCCAGG